Long non-coding RNA from Papaver somniferum (opium poppy), 828 nucleotides. RefSeq lists it as uncharacterized. Lineage: Eukaryota; Viridiplantae; Streptophyta; Magnoliopsida; Ranunculales; Papaveraceae. The transcript has 7 exons. The record is from RefSeq and is a predicted model, not a curated record.
AGUGGGAUCCCAAGCACGACGCACGCCAAGUUACAGAAUAAGGAUGCAAAUAUAUGCCUUUGGUGAGUUUGAGGUAUCAUUGCAGACUAUGGACUGCCUUUGAUGGUUCUUGUUUGGACAGCUAUUCAAUACAUCCCAGCCAAUAAUGUUCCACAUGGUAUCCUUAGACGGCUCCUCAGCCUAAAUCCGUGGUCGUCUGGUGCCUAUGCGACCUGGACAGUCAUCGAGAGCUUUUAUCCCAGCGACGCGAUGCUUUAUUAUUUGCCUAUAGUGUAGCAUCUCAACUUGCACAGCAAAGCGAGUUCAAUUUCAGAAAACCAUGUAUUUUCCAUUACGAUUUCUGACUCCAUUAUAUGGUCUUCUUGGUGUCCCCCUAUCAAAUGGCGUCAUCCCACAAUCUAUACAAACUGUCUCGCCACUCUCAAAAAACACCAGGUAGUGGAUGGGAAACCUAUUUCAACCUCCGAGGCAUCUCCACCUGAUACAAAAAAUUGAUGACAAAUCAGUUGCGGUUGUGAAGAAAGAUGGUGAAGCUGCAUCCUCUCCAGCAAAAGCUCACGAAAGCGUAUCGAUGCAGCUGAAGUUGCCGAAAAACAAGCUCUUUCUACUUCAUCCAAAACUGCAACCAAAAUGGUUAGCGAUAGGCAGAAGAAAUGCUCUUGUCCGAUCUUAAUGAAAGCAGCUGAGGCGAACAAAGAUAAACCUAUCCGCUCUUAUGGUAUGCUUAGCUACAAAAUAUAUUCAUGAUGUUUGUAAUACAUAGAAUUUGUAUUCUCUUAGGACAUAGGAAUGAACUGAACUUAUGAAGUUUCUAUGUAUUCCCUUAAC